CCUGCAGCUUUAAGGCCUCAGACGACUUCUAGCAGCACUGUGUAUUUCAAAGUAGCCAAUCAAUCCUUGGCCUGCUCCACAAAAAUAACCUACUAUCCAGACCCUGUGUUCACCACCUUCUCAUCUAUGAGGACAAGGGAUGGGUCUCAAAUUUUUCUACAGAAAAAGGCAGAUAAACUAGAGAUGACAGCAGCAGAGUUGUUAGUGUGGGGUAUUGAAGACGGAAAGAAAUACCCUUGCAUCAUGAUAGAGA
Long non-coding RNA from Mugil cephalus (flathead mullet), 253 nucleotides. RefSeq lists it as uncharacterized. The transcript has 2 exons. The record is from RefSeq and is a predicted model, not a curated record. Lineage: Eukaryota; Metazoa; Chordata; Actinopteri; Mugiliformes; Mugilidae.